UGGGGAAUAUUUCACAAUGGACGGAAGUCUGAUGCAGCAACGCCGCGUGCGGGAUGACGGCCUUCGGGUUGUAAACCGCUUUUUCUCAUGACGAAGUUUUUUGACGGUAGUGGGGGGAGAAGCACCGGCUAACUACGUGCCAGCAGCCGCGGUGAUACGUAGGGUGCGAGCGUUGUCCGGAAUUAUUGGGCGUAAAGAGCUUGUAGGCGGUUUGUCGCGUCGAUAGUGCAAACUCAGUGCUUAACGCUGAGCCUGCUGUUGAUACGGGCAGACUAGAGGAAGGUAGGGGAGAAUGGAAUUCCCGGUGGAGCGGUGGAAUGCGCAGAUAUCGGGAGGAACACCGGUGGCGAAGGCGGUUCUCUGGGCCUUUCCUGACGCUGAGAAGCGAAAGCGUGGGGAGCGAACAGG
RNAcentral lists this ribosomal RNA (408 nucleotides) under Fusobacteriota bacterium. RNAcentral's name for it is "Fusobacteria bacterium partial 16S ribosomal RNA". It matches the Rfam family "Bacterial small subunit ribosomal RNA", at positions 355 to 776 of the family's 1533-position model. Lineage: Bacteria; Fusobacteriati; Fusobacteriota. The record is from RNAcentral.